RNAcentral lists this small nucleolar RNA (133 nucleotides) under Nannospalax galili (Upper Galilee mountains blind mole rat). Lineage: Eukaryota; Metazoa; Chordata; Mammalia; Rodentia; Spalacidae. The record is from RNAcentral.
CCCCUUUUAAAAGCAUUCAGUGGGCUUUUGCUAGUGACCCAUUGAGCCAUCAAGAAGGGGCAGAGUGAAAAUACCACUUUUGGGUGAAGUAGCAACUUGUGUUGUUUUUACUUCAAUUGGUGUUGUGACAAGG